AUUGAACGCUGUCGGCAGGCCUAACACAUGCAAGUCGAACGAGUGGCGGACGGGUGAGUAAUGUCUGGGAAACUGCCCGAUGGAGGGGGAUAACUACUGAAAACGGUAGCUAAUACCGCAUACCAUCGGAUGAGCCCAGAUGGGAUUAGCUAGUAGGUGGGGUAAAGGCUCACCUAGGCGCCGAUCCCUAGCUGGUCUGAGAGGAUGACCAGCCACACUGGAACUGGUACACGGUCCAGAGUCCUACGGGAGGCAGCAGUGGGGAAUAUUUCACAAUGGGCGCAAGCCUGAUGCAGCCAUGCCGCGUGUAUGAAGAAGGCCUUCGGGUUGUAAAGUACUUUCAGCGGGGAGGCGUUACCCGCAGAAGAAACACCGGCUAACUCCGGGCCAGCAGCCGCGGUAAUUC
Molecule: ribosomal RNA, 406 nt
Filed under: uncultured bacterium
Lineage: Bacteria
Description: partial 16S ribosomal RNA
Rfam family: Bacterial small subunit ribosomal RNA
Source: RNAcentral